GUCUCAGUAGGUAAAUGGUAUACCACCUUGCCUUGUAACCAGAAGGUCCUGGGUUCCAACCCCUGUUGGUGCG
This 73-nucleotide transfer RNA is filed under the name Trichobilharzia regenti. It matches the Rfam family "tRNA". Rfam says of the family: Transfer RNA (tRNA) molecules are approximately 80 nucleotides in length. Their secondary structure includes four short double-helical elements and three loops (D, anti-codon, and T loops). The record is from Rfam by way of RNAcentral. Lineage: Eukaryota; Metazoa; Platyhelminthes; Trematoda; Strigeidida; Schistosomatidae.